This 97-nucleotide small nuclear RNA is filed under the name Mus pahari (shrew mouse). The record is from RNAcentral. Lineage: Eukaryota; Metazoa; Chordata; Mammalia; Rodentia; Muridae.
AGCCCCCCACUGUGCUCACUAAAAUUGGAAGAUACAGAGAUUAGCAUGGACCCUAUGCAAUGAUGAUAUGCAAAUUUGUGAAGCAUUCCAUAUUUCU